GAGAUGAGAAGAAAGAGUAGGCUCUGUUGUCCCUCAGACGGCGCUGCUGCAGUGCGUCUUCGCACUUACGCGGAGCGGUAAUGUGAGGAAGCCUCCCGCCAAACAGAUGAGGGAGGAGGAGGAGGGGAGAGGCCAGAGAGAGAAGCGGCUUUCGGGAAGGAAAGUGUGAUCUAGUAGGUGGAAUAGUCCUCUCCAAACUUUGACCUGAGGUGUGACUAUUGAAUGACCCUCUAUUUGGAUUUGGAUUACACAAAGUUUAACGUUUUUUGGAAAAAUCCUACCUAGGUAAUGUGUAGUUCUCAAUGCAUCAUGUCAGGCAGCUUAUGAUGCCAAUUUGUCCCAUGGCCUUAAAUUCCACAACCUCAUCAUCUACCACCUUUGGUGCUUUCAGAAUCAUGACUCUCAAUGUUGAAGAAUGGGCUACUGCAUGGAAGGUGCUGAUCCUUUUAGAGGCAGCCGUGGAAGAGGAAAAGAGAUCAGAAGAGAAAAGGAUAUUGGUUUGCGGAACAUGUGGGACAAGAAGUUCCCAGAAGAAUUUGUGAGCAACUUCCCGACAGUAAGGCCCUGGCUAGACCUCAGGAUGGUCCCUGCCUCCUGGACAUUAGGAAGCCCAAAGGCCAGAACAAAAACACAUGCCUAGUGGGGGAAGGCUCACUAAGAGGGCACCAAGUGGGGCAAAUACCCCUGGUAACCCAUUUAUGGAGGCUGCCACAGAAAUGCUAGUUGGAAAUUUUCCUCCUUCAGUCUAUCAUGAAUUUCUUUUUUCUCUUUUGAGAUGAAGUCGCCCGGGCUGCAGUUCAGUGGUGCAAUCUCAGCUCACUGCAAGCUCUGCCUCCCAGGUUCCAACGAUUGUCUUGUCUCAGCCUCCUGAGUAGCUGAGAUUAUAAGCACGCACCAUCAUACCCGACUAAUUUUUGUAUUUAUAGUAGAAAUGGGGUUUUGCCAUGUUGGCCAGGCUGGUCUUGAACUCCUGACCUUAGGGUGAUCCACCCAUCUUGGCCUCCAAAAGUGCUGGGAUUACAGGCAUGAGCCACUGCACUCGGCUGUACCGUGAUUAUUAGUUCAAGGUUCUCUUUCACUGGGGUAAAGACCUUAAGAGAGCAGUUUUUGGGCUUUAUAUUCUCAAUUUCCCGCACAGUGCCUAGCACAUAGCAAGGACUCAACAAAUUUCAUUGAAUGAAUGAAAAAACAUAGUUUACCAAAUGUCAGUGUACUCAAACUCUUUUAACUGCUAGCUAUAGAAAUCCAAUUAAGACUCACUUGGGUAAAAAAAAAUAAAAAAAUAAACAAAAUAAACUGCUCACUUAUUUGAAAAAUUAAGGAAGGAUUUCAGGCAUGGCUUGAUCCAGCUACUCAAAAAAGGUUGUCAGAAAUGUCUGUCCGUUCUUCAUUUAUUCUUUCUCAUUUGUGGGCUUUGUUCCCAGAUAAGAUCACUCCUUCUGGGGACAAGAUGGUCACUAGUAGAUCCAGGUUUACUUUCUAUCAGCUGAGCAACCUCUCAAGAAAAAAUAAAUAAAUAAAUAAACCUCUCUUUAAAUAGCACCAGGCUGCUGGGUGUGGUGGCUCAUACCUGUAACCCCAGCACUUUGGGAGGCUGAGGUAGGAGGAUUGUGGGAAGCCAGGAGUUCAAGACCAGCCCAGCCAACAUUGUGAGACAUAAUCUCUACAAAUAAAAUAAAUUAGUUGGACAUGAUGGUGUGCACCUAUAGUCCCAGCUACUCGGGAGGCUGAAGCAGAAGGAUCACUUGAGUCUGAGAAUUCGGUGUUGUUUAAGCCACCCUGUUGUGGUAUCUGCUAUGGCUGCACAGGCAGAAAUAGGGACACAAGUGCAGGUUCAGGGCAAGGUGUGUGAGCACACUCAGUCCCUGGCCUCGGAGUCUCUCUGGAUGGCUUCUUGCCUAGGGUGACUGACAGAGGGAGGGAUGAUAUGCAAAGGCACCUGUUCUCCUCAUGACCUAACCCCAAUUCUUACUCCACGGGUUCAUGACAGCCUAUUCUGCUGGAGACUGUGUCUUAAAACUUCCUCCCCUAGUUUCUCUCAAGUACCCCUCGUGAGCUGUGAUUUCACUGGGCUUUGAACUCUUAGGCCAUUUGAGGCUGCAGUGAGCUAUGAUUGUAUCACUGCACUCCAGCCUAGAUGACAGAACGAGACCCCAUCUCUAAUGAAUAAAUAAAUAUGGCUGGGCACAAUGGCUCAGGCCUGUAAUCCCAGCAUUUGGAAGACCAAGACAGGCAGAUCGCUUCAGCUCAGGAGUUCGAGAUCAUUCUGGCCAACAAGGCGAAACCCUGUCUCUACCAAAAAUACAAAAAUUAGCCAGGCAGGGUGGCAUGUGCCUUUAAUCCCAGCUACAGGGAGGCUGAGGCAGGAGAAUCACUUGAACCUGGGAGGCAGAGGUUUCAGUGAGCUGAAAUUGUGCCACUGCACUCCAGCCUGAGUGACAGAGUGAGACUUUGCAACCAAAAAA
This 2465-nucleotide long non-coding RNA is filed under the name Homo sapiens (human). RNAcentral describes it as "PREDICTED lncRNA (TCONS_00172678)". Lineage: Eukaryota; Metazoa; Chordata; Mammalia; Primates; Hominidae. The record is from RNAcentral.